CCUGGUGGCUCAGUUGGUAAAGAAUUUGCCUGCAAUGCAAGAGACCCGGGUUCAAUCCCCGGGUCAGGA
Non-coding RNA from Bos taurus (domestic cattle), 69 nucleotides. Lineage: Eukaryota; Metazoa; Chordata; Mammalia; Artiodactyla; Bovidae. The record is from Rfam.